UAACAAUGAUUUCCCUAGUAACGGCGAGUGAAGAGGAAAGAGCUCAAAGUUGGAAUCCGGCUGCCCUAGGUAGUUGGAAUUGUAAACUGGAGAGGUGUUUUCCAGGCGAGCCAAGCAAAUAAGUCCUUUGGAACAGGGCAUCAUAGAGGGUGAGAAUCCCGUCUUUGGCUUGAGCAUUGCCUUUUGCGAUACACUUUCAAAGAGUCAGGUUGUUUGGGAAUGCAGCCUAAAUUGGGUGGUAAAUCUCACCUAAAGCUAAAUAUUGGCGAGAGACCGAUAGCGAACAAGUACCGUGAGGGAAAGAUGAAAAGAACUUUGAAAAGAGAGUUAAACAGUAUGUGAAAUUGUUGAAAGGGAACCGGUUGGAGCCAGACCGGCUGUUCUAUAAUCAAUCUCUGCUUCGGUAGGGAUGCACUUGUAGGACUUUAGCCUGCCAACAGCAAUUUUCUUUGGUGGAAAAAACUAGGAGGAAUGUGGCCCUUCGGGGUGUUAUAGCCUCUUAGAAAAUACACUGAAGGGGAUUGAGGACUGCAGCAAAUGCUUUUGGCGAAAUAACUGGGUGCUUGUGUUAAGGAAGUAUAGAAUUUCUGCUUCGGGUGGUGCUAUGCUCUAAGAUGCAACUCGCUUAGACUAUUUUCUAUUUGCUUAGGUUGUUGGCUUAAUGACUC
This 668-nucleotide ribosomal RNA is filed under the name Backusella indica. RNAcentral's name for it is "eukaryotic LSU rRNA". It matches the Rfam family "Eukaryotic large subunit ribosomal RNA", at positions 66 to 640 of the family's 3401-position model. The record is from RNAcentral. Lineage: Eukaryota; Fungi; Mucoromycota; Mucoromycetes; Mucorales; Backusellaceae.